GAAGCCUAUAUGGCUUACAGUGGCAACAGACGUCGUCGUUUGGUGCAGCUGUGAUGAAUAAGUACCUACUUUAGGGUCCCGUUUUGCCGACACUGUUUCACUCUCAGAUGGCUAAGAUAUUGGGGACUCAGCUCUUUGUUCACAGGUUGUCAUUUUUCACAAACCAUCAAGAGCUUAAGACUUUAUUUGCACCAUUUGGUGUUGUUAAAGAAGCUAGGCUCAUUAGAGACCCCAAAACUCAAAGGCCUAAAGGGUUCGGUUUUGUUACAUUUGAAACCGAGGCAGAAGCUCAGAAGGCACUGAAAGCGAUGAAUGGCAGGAUUGUCCGUGGAAGGCUGAUAUUUGUUGAAUACGCAAAUGAUAAGUCUCAAAAGACCGAUGCAGACAGUUGAAAAAUGGCACGCUAAUGCCCGUUUCAAGAUCUCCUCAUCUUACCAACACCUUACAGGAGAAAAUGAAGCUGAAGUAGCUUCUACUACCGAUGGAGCAAAAUAGGUAGUCCUUCAACCAAACCAAAAAAAACACAAAAAAUUAACAAACCUCUAUAGUCUCACACAAAAUCAAACCGCAUAAGAAGUCUGGUAGAGUUUAACUUCUCUCCUUUGCGAUCAAAGAGGGGAACUGCCCGGAUCCCCUGCUUCAGUUCUGAGACUGGCAAACAAGUUUGACCGGCAAAGUCAUCCUUCUCGGACAUGUCAUAUUCGUGGACCUCAACUCGCAGCAAUGCCAAUUCAGGAACAGUCAAUGGAAAUGUAAAUUCUUCAUCCCAAACAGGUGUCCAGUUGUCUUCUUUUAUCUUCGUUUUCUUCAUUAUUUCAUCAUCUGGCACUCCUGCUAUUCCAACCUGCAUUAACAAAUUCAGAGUUAAAAUUCAGUAAGCAUGUUUAUCAUUACUCAAACUACACUGCACUUGGCUGGUUCACUGUAAAUUUUGCUGGAAUACACGGAAUAUUGAAAUAUAUCAGAAAAUUGUUUUGACACAUUAAACAA
Molecule: RNA transcript, 990 nt
Organism: Gossypium raimondii (Peruvian cotton)
Lineage: Eukaryota; Viridiplantae; Streptophyta; Magnoliopsida; Malvales; Malvaceae
Gene name: small RNA-binding protein 11, chloroplastic
Exons: 5
Source: RefSeq, a predicted model, not a curated record